This 200-nucleotide unclassified non-coding RNA is filed under the name soil metagenome. RNAcentral's name for it is "partial contains internal transcribed spacer 2 and large subunit ribosomal RNA". The record is from RNAcentral.
ACGUUCGAGCGUCAUUAAACACUAUCAAGCUUUGCUUGGAAUUGGGCCCUGUCAAAUUGACUGGCUUUAAAAUCAGUGGCAGUGUCAUCUGACUCUAAGCGUAGUAACUUUUCUCGCUAUUGUGUCUGGUGGUCUCUCGCCAACAACUCCUAUUUUCAAUGUUUGACCUCGGAUCGUGUAGGAAUACCCGCUGAACUUAA